GUUGAAUAAAAUGUACAUGGUUGGAUCCAAACUGUCUAAAUACUCACAGCUUUAAAGAGAAAUCAGCAUGUAUCUGGCACACCAAUGAAUACUGUGUUCUUCAGAGCUCAUGCUGAACUGUGUACAUUGAAGGGUCUCCCUAAAGGAAACUUUGAGACCCUUCUGUAGGCUGACCCUUCUUAGAUGGAGCUCGGCCUUCAUUUUGGAAUGCUCCGCCAUCUGAGUGCUUUAAAAAUUAAGGUGGCUUUGAGGAUCCUCUCACUUCACAGUGUGGGGAGCCAUGGCAAGCCUAGGCUUGACUCCCUUCCUGGAUGGAACUCGUACCUCAGAACUGUUGCCUCUGUGUUGUUCCAGUCAUGAUCCCCAAAGCAUGAUUCCUGAUUUGGAGGCCAAGAAAGUACAGCCUGUCUUAGCAUGUGAUCUUAUGUAAGGCACUGUGUGUCGAGCUGGCAGGAAACAAACAUCUCUCCAGCCCCCUGUUUUCAGAGACGGGUCGGAAAAUAUUUCAGCUGCUUGGUAUCAGCCUGCUGUGGUCAGUUAUCAGUGUGGUCCAGAAGGACAGGACAGCGCACCAUUCAUGGUCUGUCAGAGCUGCUCCUAGAUGGGCGGAUGGCGUCAUGACCAAAUCUCGCCUGCAUGUUUUUCAUUUCCAGUUAAGCAUGCAUGUUGGUCCUCUGGGAGUAACCCCACUCUUCAGAUCCGUGCCUUGCACCUGGAAGAGGAGGUACCUGAGGCCAAUAAGAAGUAGAAACACAAAAAGGGCUGGUGGUGUUGAUUGCCAAAAGACAUACCAGGACUAUGGCAGCCAGUCAGCACAGAACAGAAACAUAAAAGCAUUCCAUGUCAAGAGCCGCAAGAACUUUCAGUCACCCCAUCCAGGCACGUGGCAAGGACGCGGGUCUCACUGCUGUUUCUCUUCGUGUUGGCAUGAUGAUUCCCAGACAGACAUGGGGCAAGCUAUUCUGAAAAGAGUACCAGGAGCACUUUGCAGGCAAAGAACGAUGUAA
Molecule: long non-coding RNA, 1007 nt
Organism: Vombatus ursinus (common wombat)
Lineage: Eukaryota; Metazoa; Chordata; Mammalia; Diprotodontia; Vombatidae
Source: Ensembl